This 477-nucleotide long non-coding RNA is filed under the name Monodelphis domestica (gray short-tailed opossum). RNAcentral's name for it is "lncRNA (ENSMODG00000047603.1)". Lineage: Eukaryota; Metazoa; Chordata; Mammalia; Didelphimorphia; Didelphidae. The record is from RNAcentral.
CCUGGAGCAAUGAGAGAUUAAGAGGUUUGCCCAGAAUCACCUAGCCUUUGCCUUGGUGAGAUACAGAUUGCUUCAUUUGGGUGUAUGGAGUGGACAGAGAAGACUAACACCUCUGGAGUGAAGGUUCAACAAGUCCUUUUCAGGACUUCAAGUGGCUCUUGCCAGGGGAGGAUGUGGCAGCAAGAAGCCAUUAGCUUAUGUCCAAUGGGGCACCUGGCACUGAGGAAUGAAUCGAUUGUGUGGAGAGAACUCUCCCACACUCAUGUAGGAAACCAGCCAAGCCAUGUCCAACACCUCACUCAUAAAGGCCACCUCUUUUCUCUUGGACAAGUUCCUCAGUAGGAUCCAAAAGAGGAUGAAUGGGAGGCUUUGAAGGAAGGACCUUCACACAGAAAUCCAUUGGGAACAGCAAAGAAGAUUCUGUCUUUCUGGGAAGAGAAGGGGAUCCCCAGAAAUAAAGCCUGAACACAGGACUCA